GGAGUGAUGCUGCUGUGACAUCUGUCAUUCGUUGACCUCUAGGGUUGAAUCAGCCGGGUAGGCAGGAGUUCCCUUCUCCCUCACGGUUCUUGGCAUAGCUCCAGGAGCUGUGCACUCAGUUGAAGAGGAUGGCCUUCCCCAUCGAGGAGGACUGUUCUUAGGCCAAGGACAGGAGUAACUGUGCCUCCAUGUGGGAACCGAUGAACAAGCAGCCUGGAGGGUGGGGUUGGGGCAAAAGUAGCUACCCCUGCAGGAGCCUUGUGGAUUUCCU
Molecule: small nuclear RNA, 271 nt
Filed under: Rattus norvegicus (Norway rat)
Lineage: Eukaryota; Metazoa; Chordata; Mammalia; Rodentia; Muridae
Description: 7SK RNA
Rfam family: 7SK RNA
About the family: 7SK was discovered as an abundant small nuclear RNA in the mid-70s but a possible function has only recently been suggested. Two independent studies have found that 7SK RNA binds the CDK9/cyclin T complex (known as elongation factor P-TEFb). P-TEFb activates transcription by phosphorylating the C-terminal domain of RNA polymerase II.
Source: Rfam by way of RNAcentral